RNAcentral lists this ribosomal RNA (498 nucleotides) under Bacillus thuringiensis. RNAcentral describes it as "bacterial SSU rRNA". It matches the Rfam family "Bacterial small subunit ribosomal RNA", at positions 382 to 872 of the family's 1533-position model. The record is from RNAcentral. Lineage: Bacteria; Bacillati; Bacillota; Bacilli; Caryophanales; Bacillaceae.
UCUGACGGAGCACGCCGCGUGAGUGAUGAAGGCUUUCGGGUCGUAAAACUCUGUUGUUAGGGAAGAACAAGUGCUAGUUGAAUAAGCUGGCACCUUGACGGUACCUAACCAGAAAGCCACGGCUAACUACGUGCCAGCAGCCGCGGUAAUACGUAGGUGGCAAGCGUUAUCCGGAAUUAUUGGGCGUAAAGCGCGCGCAGGUGGUUUCUUAAGUCUGAUGUGAAAGCCCACGGCUCAACCGUGGAGGGUCAUUGGAAACUGGGAGACUUGAGUGCAGAAGAGGAAAGUGGAAUUCCAUGUGUAGCGGUGAAAUGCGUAGAGAUAUGGAGGAACACCAGUGGCGAAGGCGACUUUCUGGUCUGUAACUGACACUGAGGCGCGAAAGCGUGGGGAGCAAACAGGAUUAGAUACCCUGGUAGUCCACGCCGUAAACGAUGAGUGCUAAGUGUUAGAGGGUUUCCGCCCUUUAGUGCUGAAGUUAACGCAUAAGCACUCCGC